RNAcentral lists this ribosomal RNA (164 nucleotides) under uncultured Chlamydiales bacterium. RNAcentral describes it as "partial 16S ribosomal RNA". It matches the Rfam family "Bacterial small subunit ribosomal RNA", at positions 347 to 504 of the family's 1533-position model. Lineage: Bacteria; Pseudomonadati; Chlamydiota; Chlamydiia; Chlamydiales. The record is from RNAcentral.
AGCUGCAGUCGAGAUCUUUCGCAUGGGCGCAGCCUGACGAAGCGACGCUGUGUGAGCGAUGAAGGCCUUCGGGUUGUAAAGCUCUUUCGCUCAGGAACAAGAAAGUGUGGUGAAUAACCCCAGUCAGACUUGAGGGUACUGGGUAAGAAGCACCGGCUAACUCC